AGCAAUAGUGUGCUUUUUCCUUUUUCUUUUUAUUUUAAAGUGACUGAUGUUUGAAUUUGUGUAGAAAAUUAUGUGUUGGUCCAAAAACAGUGAAAAUAUUUGGGUAUGUUCUAUGCAGUGAGUAGAACAUAGGAAAAAUGUUAGGUUACAUUUUCUGGUAAUUUACAUAUAUAUAUAUAUAUAAUUUGUAUCCUUUAUUUAGUGAAUAAAGCUUCCAUGAAUUUUAGUAAUUUAUUAGUAUGUCCAAAAAUCACCAAAAUUAGUGGGAUGUCAUUGAAUACUAUUCCCUAGCUUGACACAA
RNAcentral lists this long non-coding RNA (301 nucleotides) under Sorghum bicolor (sorghum). Its description in RNAcentral is "long non-coding RNA (SBIC_LNC012710)". Lineage: Eukaryota; Viridiplantae; Streptophyta; Magnoliopsida; Poales; Poaceae. The record is from RNAcentral.